This 1625-nucleotide long non-coding RNA is filed under the name Olea europaea subsp. europaea. The record is from RNAcentral. Lineage: Eukaryota; Viridiplantae; Streptophyta; Magnoliopsida; Lamiales; Oleaceae.
CCUACAAAUACAAUAACAUGAUUUGUACAUUGAACACGACAAGAUUAAGGAAAAGAUAAGCGUAACAAAAUCUACUAGAAGUUGUGUCCACUCUAGUAAUUGCUAUGACAUAGAAUGCUAGACGGAACGGACCAGGAAUGAGCAGACCAAUUUUUUUCCUUUCUUCACUUCAAUGGUUCCUCUCUCUCUCUCUCUCAGAAGAUCACUUUAGCAUCAGAAAAGGAAAAGUUACAACCCUUCUUUUUCUUUGUCCAAAGUAAGAGAUGCGACUAUUUCAAUGUUCAUGCCUGUAAUAUAUCAUCUACACUUGAGCUUAAAGGCUGCUAAAUAUUUGAAAAAAAAAAAAAAAGAAGCAUAACGACGGGAAAACUAACGGUGUGGUAAGCUUGUCAUGAGUCUUCACUAUAUCGCUAGUUAGUUUACUAAGCCCCAUGAUGAAUUGAAUUCUUGUUUAUCAUUUAUGAUAUUGUACAAUCUUAGUACUCUUCAACUGGUCAAUAUUUCACUGCUUGAUCGAAUAUUUCUAUGAACUGUCAUUUCUGAGUUGCCUGCUCAACAAUAUAAGUCGAACACAUUGUAGGCUUGGCAGUGAUCAUUUGCAACAAAGUUAUUCCAAAAGAAUAAAUAUCCGAUUUUGUACUUCGCCAACUUCAUACUCUUACAGAAUUGGUCACUUCCUAACGCACCAGUCUAUCUAAGUGCUGUUUCAAUCCCAAGCCUCAUUAGUGGCGUUAAAAUGGAUGGAUACGUUCGUGAAAAGUCCUUAGCAUAGGUCAGCAUUGUCAUUUUAUUACUUUAUCAAAUACUCCGUCCAAGCCGUGAAGUGAGUUGAUUCCUCCGCUCACAAUGCUCAAGUUGUAGCUGAAGAUCUACCUUCUUCUCUUCCUUUUAAUAGUUCGAAAUUCCAGGGGGAAGGGAAGAGUAGCCACCAAAGCUUGAUUCUCGCGACUGAACUUGCAACCUAUGUAUUCGUAAUGGUUCUUAAUGCCACAGGUGUCAUUCUAAGAUCCUCGGCUAUAUCCGAUGGGUGGGAUUUGAAAUCAUCCACAAACAUAGUAAAGCACCAACACUAAACUUAUGAGCAGCUUCUUUUUCUCGUCUGGAAUUCUUGAAUCAUUUGGAGUAGCAAAAAGUGAAGAUAAUUUCUGGGAUACGAUACUCGAAAAUUUAUGGUGCUUCCCAGAUAAAGCGCCAUCCAUAGAAUGUUUAUCCUUGAACUUAAUGAGAUGAGUGACAUGAAAUUAUGCCCGCCAACUUCCUCUCUUCUGUGUCGUCCUACGAGGUGGAAAGGCAAGAAAAUAAGGAAAUAGCAUUAAAGCAAAACGAUGAGUUCAAACAAAAUAUUGUUAAUUCACGAAUAAAUUAUAAAACGGUCGAUUCUCUCUAUUAUCGAUUUGUAAAUAAGUAUGCAGCAUGAUCAACAUUUCCAUUUUCCAGCUACAGUAAUGGCUUCUGACUACUUACAGGUGUAAGACGCAUGAUCAAAUUUCAUAAAAUUAUGAUUUUUCUAAUCAAAUAGAUCUUUCUGGUAUUAACCAACUCCACAUUUGAAGUCAAAAGUUGAUUACUCGGAUUUAAUCGUCUAAAAAAUCCAAAUCUAUUAGGCUGGAGCCCCCAGGAAAUUG